CACGUAGGGCGCAAGCGUUGUCCGGAAUUAUUGGGCGUAAAGAGCUCGUAGGCGGUCUGUUGCGUCCGCUGUGAAAACUCGGGGCUUAACCCCGAGCCUGCAGUCGAUACGGGCGGACUAGAGUUCGGCAGGGGAGACUGGAAUUCCUGGUGUAGCGGUGAAAUGCGCAGAUAUCAGGAGGAACACCGGUGGCGAAGGCGGGUCUCUGGGCCGAUACUGACGCUGAGGAGCGAAAGCGUGGGGAGCGAACAGG
This 253-nucleotide ribosomal RNA is filed under the name uncultured bacterium. Its description in RNAcentral is "partial 16S ribosomal RNA". It matches the Rfam family "Bacterial small subunit ribosomal RNA", at positions 524 to 776 of the family's 1533-position model. The record is from RNAcentral.